RNAcentral lists this small RNA (489 nucleotides) under Pan troglodytes (chimpanzee). RNAcentral's name for it is "processed transcript". Lineage: Eukaryota; Metazoa; Chordata; Mammalia; Primates; Hominidae. The record is from RNAcentral.
CUAGAGAGCAGCAUGAUCAAGCUUUGCCUGUAGAAGAGUAACUGAGCAUCAUGUGCAGAAUGGAUGAGAGAGAAGCAGCAGAGAGACAGCAAGGCCAUUCAGCAAGCUCAGGUGGCAGGUCCCAUCUGAUGGAGGAGAAUCAAUUCAAGGAGAUGCCCUCCCUUUACAGCACACCCUUUAACAGCAUCCAGGAGGAACGAGAGGCUGCAAUGCUGAGGCUUUCAAAGUACUCACAAGGAUGCCCGAGAAUGGCUGUGAUGCCGGGCUUCUGGCAGGUUCCAGACUCCAUCACAAGCCCAGCAUCCCUGCACCAGAUCUGACAUCGCUGCUGCUGUGCCAGCUGUUUAUGAAGGGCCUGAGUGGCUAGCAGGUUUUUAUCAGGAGCCUUGCUGGGGGCUUAGACACCAAAAGAGAAGUCUCAUCCUCUGUAGUUCUUCUUGUGAAUGUCCUUUUAGAAAAACAAUUAGAACCAACCACAACCACCAAAGU